AUUGAACGCUGGCGGCAAGCCUAACACAUGCAAGUCGAACGAGUGGCGGACGGGUGAGUAAUGUCUGGGAAACUGCCUGAUGGAGGGGGAUAACUACUGGAAACGGUAGCUAAUACCGCAUACCAUCGGAUGUGCCCAGAUGGGAUUAGCUAGUAGGUGGGGUAAAGGCUCACCUAGGCGACGAUCCCUAGCUGGUCUGAGAGGAUGACCGGCAAAACGGGAACUAAGAAACGGUCCAAACUCCAAGGGGAGGCGGCAGGGGGGAAUAUUGCACAAUGGGCGCAGGCCUAAUGCAGCCAUGCCGCGUGUAUGAAGAAGGCCUUCGGGUUGUAAAGAACUUUCAGCGGGGAGACGUUACCCACAGAAGAGGCACCGGCUAACUCCGUGCCAGCAGCCGCGGUAAUU
This 405-nucleotide ribosomal RNA is filed under the name uncultured bacterium. Its description in RNAcentral is "partial 16S ribosomal RNA". It matches the Rfam family "Bacterial small subunit ribosomal RNA", at positions 30 to 525 of the family's 1533-position model. The record is from RNAcentral.